AGUGAACGCUGGCGGUAGGCCUAACACAUGCAAGUCGAACGGCAGCACAGUAAGAGCUUGCUCUUACGGGUGGCGAGUGGCGGACGGGUGAGGAAUACAUCGGAACCUACUUUUUCGUGGGGGAUAACGUAGGGAAACUUACGCUAAUACCGCAUACGACCUACGGGUGAAAGCAUGGGAUCUUCGGACCUUGCGCGAUUGAAUGAGCCGAUGUCGGAUUAGCUAGUUGGCGGGGUAAAGGCCCACCAGGGCGACGGUCCGUAGCUGGUCUGAGAGGAUGAUCAGCCACACGGGAACUGAGACACGGUCCAGACUCCGACGGGGGGCAGCAGUGGGGAAUAUUGGACGAUGGGCGCAAGCCUGAUCCAGCAAUACCGCGUGAGUGAAGAAGGCCUUCGGGUUGUAGAGCCCUUUUGUUGGGAAAGAAAAGCAGCAGGUUAAGACGCCGCUGUUCUGACGGUACCCAAAGAAUAAGCACCGGCUAACUUCGUG
Molecule: ribosomal RNA, 492 nt
Filed under: uncultured bacterium
Lineage: Bacteria
Description: partial 16S ribosomal RNA
Rfam family: Bacterial small subunit ribosomal RNA
Source: RNAcentral